GGGUCAGUAGGUUGGUCGUGCCACCGGUACGUACUGGUCUCACUGAUUCCUCCUUCCUGAAGAACCGUAAUGCCAUUAAGUUGGUGUUGCGGGGAAACAGGACUGUUACUUUGAAAAAAUUAGAGUGUAUAAAGCAAGCUAACGCUUGAAUACAUUAGCAUGGAAUAAUGAAAUAGGACGAUCGAUCCUAUUUUGUUGGUUUCUAGGAUUGACGUA
Molecule: ribosomal RNA, 216 nt
Filed under: Glomeromycotina sp.
Lineage: Eukaryota; Fungi; Glomeromycota
Description: partial small subunit ribosomal RNA
Rfam family: Eukaryotic small subunit ribosomal RNA (bases 87-216)
Source: RNAcentral